This 599-nucleotide ribosomal RNA is filed under the name Salmonella enterica. Its description in RNAcentral is "partial 23S ribosomal RNA". It matches the Rfam family "Bacterial large subunit ribosomal RNA", at positions 590 to 1190 of the family's 2925-position model. The record is from RNAcentral. RNAcentral also lists the same sequence under 2 other names. Lineage: Bacteria; Pseudomonadati; Pseudomonadota; Gammaproteobacteria; Enterobacterales; Enterobacteriaceae.
UGUGUGACUGCGUACCUUUUGUAUAAUGGGUCAGCGACUUAUAUUCUGUAGCAAGGUUAACCGUAUAGGGGAGCCGUAGGGAAACCGAGUCUUAACCGGGCGUUAAGUUGCAGGGUAUAGACCCGAAACCCGGUGAUCUAGCCAUGGGCAGGUUGAAGGUUGGGUAACACUAACUGGAGGACCGAACCGACUAAUGUUGAAAAAUUAGCGGAUGACCUGUGGCUGGGGGUGAAAGGCCAAUCAAACCGGGAGAUAGCUGGUUCUCCCCGAAAGCUAUUUAGGUAGCGCCUCGUGAAUUCAUCUCCGGGGGUAGAGCACUGUUUCGGCUAGGGGGCCAUCCCGGCUUACCAACCCGAUGCAAACUGCGAAUACCGGAGAAUGUUAUCACGGGAGACACACGGCGGGUGCUAACGUCCGUCGUGAAGAGGGAAACAACCCAGACCGCCAGCUAAGGUCCCAAAGUCAUGGUUAAGUGGGAAACGAUGUGGGAAGGCCCAGACAGCCAGGAUGUUGGCUUAGAAGCAGCCAUCAUUUAAAGAAAGCGUAAUAGCUCACUGGUCGAGUCGGCCUGCGCGGAAGAUGUAACGGGGCUAAACCAU